This is a long non-coding RNA of Drosophila ananassae, 499 nucleotides long. RefSeq lists it as uncharacterized. Lineage: Eukaryota; Metazoa; Arthropoda; Insecta; Diptera; Drosophilidae. The transcript is spliced from 2 exons. The record is from RefSeq and is a predicted model, not a curated record.
AUGGGAUCUUCGGUGCUUGCGAUGGUGGGAGCGUCCUGAUCUUCCAGAGCGUCCAGAUCCACGAGAUAAUUCACUUUCAUUGUCGGAAGUGCGACGAUGACGAUGCUUAUGUCUGAUAAGAUAAAUAUCCAAAUGACACUUUGGAAUGGAAGAGAUUUUUGAAGAUAAGAUAAUUAUUCAAAGUUCGUGUGCACAACUUUUAUCCAUGUCUCAGGAUGUACAAGUCAAUAUGGCUUUUAAGGAGCUCCACAAAUCACAAUCUGUCUACUGAUUUGACUCUAUCUUGAAGUUAUUUUGCGGCCUUGGCAUUAUCAAAAUAUUUUUGAUUUUCAAAUGGAAUACCAGAUAAAAGUUGCACACGCCUUUUCUUUAUAAGUUUUCUAGAUAAGUGAUUUUAUAAACUAACUAUUUCAGUUUUCUUGACCUUUUUCCAAUUAAUGUUAAAAUUAAAUAGUUUUGUAAUAAAUUUUUGUAUCUAACCUGCGAGUAGAUCGCGAAU